AUAGCAUUAAAAUAUUGAGAAUUGGUGUACAUUUGGAUACAUCGUGUAUAUGUGUACACUUUGAUGUGAAUAUCACGUACACUCGGAUAUUGUUGUCUACAUGCAAUUGUGUAAGGUGGACUUAUUUUAGAAAUGUGGUUCUACAAUGUAGAAAGCCUUUUGAAAUUCAUUACAUCUAAAAAAUCACAAAUAGCUCAAUAAUGAACAUAUCAACAUGUACACUUGUUUACCAAUUUCCACAUGUACACUUUACCAUGGUGUAAAUUUCAAUUAGACAUUUGCAAAUUUAUAACAUGCAUUUACAACAUUGUAGGAUUAAAGGAAGCAUCUUGUAUAUAGUAUGAAUAUAGAUAAGUGUUUUAAGAACAUAAGACAUCAAGCCACAAGCAUAAAUCUUAGCUAUUUGUUGUAACAUAUAAAUCCACAAGUAAUACAUGGACUUGCACAGCAUUAAAAUAAAAAAAUUUGCUAAAGCAAUGAGAUGUGUAACAACUGCAAAUUAAAAAAAAAACUAUAAAAAUGAAGAAAAUGAAUCACAGUCAUCAUCUUUCUACACACAAACAAGAAAAAAAAACGUGAAAGAGAAUUAUUUGUUUCCAGAAAGAUCAUCUUUCCCCCAAUUCCUUGCAGUAUUGUCGUCAUCUCCCCGUGGCCUUUUCUUCUUCUUCACAAGGUCUCUGAAAAGCCUUAAGUUUAAGGAAGAUGCAGAAUAGGGACUAAUAAUCAGGGACAAAGUUUAGUUCACUAACUGCAAUUUAGGGACUGAUAAUCAGGGGUGAAUUUCGUGUUUUUUGUUCCAAGGUUCAGGGUAAUGAGGAAUCAAGGUGUUAAGGCACCGGCGAGAAUAGGAUGAGGGAAGAUGGUGAACUUUCUGAAUUGAUCUCGGCCGUAGAAAAAUAAAAGGUUGAUCUAAC
RNAcentral lists this long non-coding RNA (914 nucleotides) under Brassica rapa (field mustard). Its description in RNAcentral is "long non-coding RNA (BRAP_LNC005011)". Lineage: Eukaryota; Viridiplantae; Streptophyta; Magnoliopsida; Brassicales; Brassicaceae. The record is from RNAcentral.